RNAcentral lists this ribosomal RNA (465 nucleotides) under uncultured bacterium. RNAcentral describes it as "partial 16S ribosomal RNA". It matches the Rfam family "Bacterial small subunit ribosomal RNA", at positions 28 to 507 of the family's 1533-position model. The record is from RNAcentral.
GACGAACGCUGGCGGCGUGCUUAACACAUGCAAGUCGAACGGAAAGGCCCUGCUUGCAGGGUACUCGAGUGGCGAACGGGUGAGUAACACGUGGGUGAUCUGCCCUGCACUUCGGGAUAAGCCUCGGCAACUGGGUCUAAUACCGGCUAGGAGCCAUUUUUAGUGUGAUGGUUGGAAAGUUUUUUCGGUGUAGGAUGAGCUCGCGGCCUAUCAGCUUGUUGGUGGGGUAAUGGCCUACCAAGGCGGCGACGGGUAGCCGGACUGAGGGGGUGGACGGCCAUAUUGGGACUGAGAUACGGCACAGACUCCGACGGGAGGCAGCAGUGGGGAAUAUUGCACAAUGGGCGCAAGCCUGAUGCAGCGACGCCGCGUGGGGGAUGACGGCCUUCGGGUUGUAAACUCCUUUCGCUAGGGACGAAGCUUUUUGUGACGGUACCUAGAGAAGAAGCACCGGCUAACUACGUG